AAGCGGAGGAAAAGAAACUAACCAGGAUUCCCCCAGUAACGGCGAGUGAAGCGGGAAGAGCUCACAUUUAAAAUCUGGCACUCGUGCCCGAAUUGUAGUCUAAAGAGGUAGGGCCCAGCAGACGAGGUGAUUCGAAGUCCUCUUGGAAGAGAGCAUCAAGGAGGGUGACAAUCCCGUCGAACACCGUAAUUGUCUUGCGUGCGGUCCGCUUUCUAUGAGUCGAGUUGCUUGGGAUUGCAGCUCAAAGUGGGUGGUAAAUUCCAUCUAAAGCUAAAUACGCGUGGGAGACCGAUAGCGAACAAGUACCGUGAGGGAAAGAUGCAAAGAACUUUGAAAAGAGAGUGAAAAAGUGCCUGAAAUUGCUGAAAGGGAAGCGAAGGAUAAYCAGUGUCUGGCGGUUCCGCUUCUCCUGCGUUCCUCGGAACGCUGGAUCGCGUUUCCGUCGUGGUCAGUGCCGGCUAGCGUCGCGAGAGCCUGCGUUACGGGAGGUACGUCUCCUCGGAGAUGGAAUGCCGUGGCGUGUCGUCGCGAGGCUGUCCGGGCCUGACGAAAUGGUUUUCUUCACCCCGUCUUGAAACAC
RNAcentral lists this ribosomal RNA (580 nucleotides) under Ascophyllum nodosum. Its description in RNAcentral is "LSU rRNA". It matches the Rfam family "Eukaryotic large subunit ribosomal RNA", at positions 48 to 662 of the family's 3401-position model. Lineage: Eukaryota; Phaeophyceae; Fucales; Fucaceae. The record is from RNAcentral.